AGCUUGAUGUAUUGUAGUAAACGUGAAAGGUAAUAUAUAUACAGGGUGGACGAUAUAUAACUAAUUUCCAACUGCCGCCAUACUGAAACGAUGCGUCCAUCGUGUCCUGUUCCGCUUCAGCGAUUGUUUUAUCGAAGAAUGUGAAAUAAUCGUGGAGCGUUGCACAGUUGAGGAACGAGUGAAAAUUAUUCAAACAUUUGAUCGAAAAGCUACUCCUUCAUCCUGAUACAUUGGCCAAGGGAUUAUUUGAAGAAACAAACAGAUAUACGUAGACUUAAGAGAUUCAAAGCAUUGGGUGCAAAAGACAAAUUUUAAGUGAUUCUUAGAUAAGAGAAGACAGCUCAGAGAAGACAGUCAUUAAUUAGAAGGAAAAUCAUACGUCCAGUCGUUAAAGGAUACGAUUCUCUUGUUUUGGAUAAAUGCUGGAUAUUUUAAUUACAUUGGUUUCUUACCAAAGUACGUAUAAAGUUGCGAAAACGUAUCCAAAAAUUCAACUCUCCAUACAUACGUAACCCCAAAAAUUCAGCCAUUCCGAAAGAUAUCGUAAAAUUUCAACUACCGAGUAAGUACUAAAAGUUCUACUAAAAUCUUCAUCUACGUAGUACGGAAACGUCUUCAAAGUAGGAUCAUCAAGCGCGUUAGUUAAUCAGCGGAAGCGUGACAAACGCACAAUCGCAACACAGCAAUACGUAGUAGCACAGCGAUGCGCGUACACGUGCAACAUGUUCAAAGCAUAAAUGUAAACGGAUCGCCUAACCGUGAUUAGAUAUGCAGCCAGGUACACGUGUAUAUAAGCAAAUGAGCUGUACGAUGCACAGUAUGAAAUCGUGGUAAAACAGAGGCAGUGCGCGUGUCUUAUCUAGCGACCUCAACUUCCGCACCUUUUCACCAUUUUCUACCCCUUUGCUAAUUACGCGACCCAACGAAAGUUCAAAGAACCAUCCGCCGUCGUCUUUUAUACCACGUACCUUUUUUUCCUUCUUUUUCUCCUCUUACGUAUUCUUCUCUCUUUGAUAAUCGGAUUUUUUUUUUGCGGAAACACCCUCGCGAGACGAUUCGAAAAGACACGCGGAAUAUGACGACGAUGAAAUCGCAUUGAUGGUAUUCGACGAUAAAAGUUAGUUACGCAACGCUUCUCACUCCCCUCUCACGGAAAUAUCGUCUGUCGGAAAUAGAUUCAAGUACAUGGACAUCGAUGGUUGGCUUGGAAUUAUGCAUCGACUCAGUUCGUCAAGGUUGCUGGAUCACGACCGCGGUUUCGCGCGUGGGGCGUUUGAACUAUUCGCGCCUCCUUCCAUUUCUGCGUCUCGAAAUACUUUCUGAACUUGUGCGCGCAUUUUCCAUGAAAAUGAUUUCUAUUACGUUUCCUACAGUGCAUAGGGGUUCAUGGCGUGAUAGAUAAAAGCUUGACGUGAUUUUCUUAGUACCGUUAAAAUGACAUUUCAUCGUAUCCUCUUCCAUCUUUCACGAAUUUCAAUUUAUUCUAGCUGUUAAUCGUGUUUCUGUAGGAUAUAUUGGGUUGUCCGAAACGUUUCUUUCGUUUCAUAAGGUGAUAAUAGAUGAACAAC
Bombus impatiens (common eastern bumble bee) is the source of this 1568-nucleotide long non-coding RNA. RefSeq lists it as uncharacterized. The record is from RefSeq and is a predicted model, not a curated record. The transcript is spliced from 3 exons. NCBI's taxonomy places the organism in Eukaryota, Metazoa, Arthropoda, Insecta, Hymenoptera, Apidae.